UACAAAUGCUUGUUGUGUUUGUUUUGUGUUUUUAAUUUUAUGUUCCACUGCUUGUCUACUUUUUCAUUGUUUUUAAUCCAAACUUCUACUUCAGCCUCUGCUCAUGAAGUCUCCCUCUCCCGAGUCCUUUGGGCUGCAAUAAUCAGACUCAAGCUGAGUGGAGACACACACUGAACAGAUGACAUGCCAGCCAAACUUGCCCCAAAAGUUGGGGAGGGAAAUGGUGCUCAACUGAAGGCAGCUGCUCUUGGGAGAGUCUUGACAGAGACCUCUGCAGCGAUAGUGCCUGGCAUCAGUGAUUGACGGGGAGCCAUCUGAUCAACUUUUGUUUCUGAAGGAAAACCCUGAGGAAACUCACUACCAUCCUCAGUGGCUGGUGGAUGGAUAAAGAGGUGGAAAGCAAGUUGUGUGUAGAGUGAGCAGAAACUAUGAAGAGCCAUGAGCAGUUCCGGGGGAGCAGCUGCGAGCAUCAUGGAAGGCCUCUGCCCUGUCGGAGAAGCCGGGAUCCUCUUCAGCUUGGACACUACAUCAGUGACACUGGCAUCUCCCCCAUGCCAGGUGUCCAGAUUAAUCAGGAGACCAUUGUAGAUGAGGCAUCGCUCUAGGACCUGGUACCUGCUUGUGCUUUGUCCAGAACUGAGCUCAGAACUUGCCCAGUUCUACCACAUGUCUGAAAACUUCUUCCUUCCUGUCCACAUCAUUCCGUAGUUGUCUCUGAGAUAUGUCUAUUUACAAGAAGAUACUCUGAAA
Molecule: long non-coding RNA, 750 nt
Filed under: Homo sapiens (human)
Lineage: Eukaryota; Metazoa; Chordata; Mammalia; Primates; Hominidae
Description: non-protein coding lnc-EPSTI1-3:2
Source: RNAcentral